CAAAAGAGCACCAAAAGAUCCAAAAUUUCAACAUUUUUAAGGUAAAAAAUUAUACCAAUCAAACACAUUUAAUUGACAACUCCACGAAAACAAAUUCUAGACAAUUCAAUUCCCUGAAAUUUGUUUUCUUUUCACCCAAAUUGCACUCUUACAAUCAAACGGACCCUUAGAUCUGUGAACAUUCAAAGAUUUGAUGAAAAGGUCCGUCAAUUGGUUUUUAGUAGAAACAUGCUCAAUAUGAUUAAUUAGUUCAUUCUUUUUAACCCCAAACAUUCUUGAAAGAAGAGAUUUUCUUUGUCAAGUGCGUCAUCAAUUCAGUCAAGUGAUUGACUUGUUAAGAGUUUAACCUGAUCAAUUAUAUUGUUUGUCAUUCCUAAUCAAGAGUUUACGACACCUAGGUCUUGUGUGACCUAACUAUACACAUUUGAAACACGUAGGAAUGGACCUAGGAACAAUACUUGGUUUUAAGUUUUGAAAUUUAGGCUGUGGAAUCCUAUGAUGCACUAAUGAUCUUCUUUCUUGGGUAUCUUUACUCUUAGGUUUACUGACUUCUACCUUCUUCGUUUAGUAGAUGCAGGUACAAUGAUUGUUUUAGAAGAGGUAGUAUCAUGAAAAUUGAUUCCAUUAUAAACCAAACCUCCAUUAUUUAUUGCAGACAUGUUCAGUCUUAAAAUGUUGUCAAGCUUCUUAGACCCACCAUAGAAAGUACGAAGCUGUGCAUUGGAUUUAUCAAGUUUACUCUAGUGUCUUGACUUUAUUUUCUAAGACUCCUCAACAUUCAAGUUCAGCUAAAAGAUUUCCUUCUCUGACUUAAUAACAGGCCGCUUUUUAAAGGCAGGCCUAUUUAACUUCUUCAAAUUAAGACUCUCCUCAAAUAACUUAUCAUAAACCUCUUGGGGAGUGAAGGGAUAGGUGAAACAGGAGAGGGUGGAAGAACCAGUGAAAGUAAUGCAUAAAAUAAAACCCCUCUAUUUUUCUAUUUUGAUUUUCGCAAUUAGAUGAAAACAAUAAAGGUUUAAAUCUUACCUUACAUCAGUUAUUUUAUCCAUCUCAUGAAAAAAUGAGGUUUCUUUCCUUUUUUUGGUGAUCUAUUUAUCUGAGAUCUUUUUCACUGUUAGACUCUCCCUAUGACGAUUCAGUUUGCUCUAAAUUCUCGAUCUUACCAUCACUCUUCUCACUUUCACAUUCCACAAUGGAAGUAAGAGCCAUGUAGUGCCAACUAUCCAUGAAUAUUGAAGUCUCACUUUGAUUCUCAAAACUAGACUCAUUGUGAGUGACAUUCAUUGCCUUUCCUAAGUCUUCUUAUAACUUAAGACACUUAGCUCUAAUGUGUUCAAAUCCCUGACAUUCAUGACACCUAACAUUUUGAGAUUUCUUUUUGGCAUAUCUAGUAUCUUUCUUCUCUCUUAUCUUUCUUGUAUUUACUAGGACAAACUUCUCAGGAAGUCCUUUAUUAGUCCUUUUUAUUUUUUAUUUUUUUGAAUUUCUUAGCAAAUAUGCUACCUUCUCAUCUGAUAGAGUCUCAUCAUCAGUCUUGUUACAAUUCUCUUCCUUGACAAUGUUGAGGGUAAUUGACUUGUUUUCUUAUAUUGAGGUAGGUUAAGCUCAUAGGUUUGGAGAGAACCCAAAAUUUCUUCUAUUUUAACGUGAUUUAGGUCUUUAAUUUCCCAAUAGCUGUGACUUUCAGUGUAAACCUUUAAGGUAUUGCUCUUAAAACCUAACUAUUCUGGUCUCUGGAUUUGUUCACCUAGAUCAUUCAGUUUGGCAUAGAAUUAACCAAAGGAUUUGUCAUCCUUCAUUCUAAUUUCCUUAUAUCUACUGGCCAACAUUUGUAGCUUAAAGUUCUUCACAAUUUUAGUUUCUUCAUGUGUGGUUUCAAGAAUGUCCUAAGCUUCUCUAGAAAGUCUCACACAUGGAAACAUGUUUCAACUCAUCAUAUGAGAUAGCCUUAAAGAUGGCAUGAACACCUUUGUUAUUGAGAUUACACUCAACUAAUUCAUCUUUAUACCAAGUGGGUAUAUUCCUAGAUUUAUCAACACCAUCGACUCUUAAAGAAGGGAUUGUCCAACUGCGUUUCACACUCACCCAAACUUGUUCAUCCAAGAAUUUCAAGAAAGCUCUCAUCCGAACCUUCGUGGACGCAUAAUUGCUCCCAUCAAAGUAUGGAAGGAUAGAUAAAGACUAUCUAGUACUCAUCUAAAUCGUUUUGGGUCAAGAAUUGAAAUCAGGCUUUGAUACCAAUUCAAAAAUGAUGUUUCACCUACUUUACACCUAGAAGGAGUGAAUAGGUCAAUUAUGUGAAAUUUAAUUUUAAAAAGAGUAAUUUACAACAAGUUACAAAUUAUAAAGUCUAGAUAAACGUGAGAAAAGUGUCUAGCGCAACAAUCAACAAAGCAAGUGAAUAAAUAUGCUAAAAAAUAAAUAAUACCAAGAAUAGUUUAUGAAGGAAAAACUCUUGAAGAACUCUUCAAGAGAAAACCUCCGAGUAUCUCGUGCCACCAAAUGAUCCACUGUGAAAAGAUUGAACUUACAAAUCUGGUCUAGACAUAAUUAAACCUCAUUAGACUCUGAUCUCCAAUCUAUAAAUAUCCAAAGAACUCGAUUGUGUACUCUAGCACCUGCUUCUGAACUUUUUUCGUGCGAAUCUCUAAGAACGAACUCGUUCUUAGUUAGAACUCCGGUUACCUCUAAUAUCAAUCAAUACUCUGAGGAUAUAUGGUAGAGGAUUUUAUGACGUUUUGUUUUUGGAUGAAUGUAAUUUUGAAAAUAAUCUUCUCUUGUUUUUUUCUUCUAUCUCAACACACAAUAAAAUGCAAUGGUUUCUAUUGUGUGUAAAUUAUAGUUCGCAGUUCCAAGUACUUUAGGAGUGUUUAGAGGUUGAAUUAGGAGAAAUAGGUUUUCCUUUCCUCGACGGGUUCUCGAGCU
This 2925-nucleotide long non-coding RNA is filed under the name Olea europaea (common olive). Its description in RNAcentral is "long non-coding RNA (OEUR_LNC009411)". The record is from RNAcentral. Lineage: Eukaryota; Viridiplantae; Streptophyta; Magnoliopsida; Lamiales; Oleaceae.